CUGAGUCGAAUGAUCCACCUGCCUCAGCCUCCCAAAGCGCUGGGAUUACAGGCGUCAGCCCCUGCACCCGGCCCCAGCAGUACAAUCUGGUAACUCGAAAAAGAACUGGCACCUCAUGAAAACAGAGAAACGGCCAAUGAACUGAAAAGACGCUCAGCCUUAGCAGACCCAGGAGUUGGUGUGAUGAAAUAUUCAGCGUUGUAAACAGUGUGCACACAAACACGUAUGUCUCAAGUGUGUACUUGUUCCGCCUGCCUGGCUGGUGAGAGAACAGCAGCCUUUGGAAAGCAGACGGUGAUCUUCGAUAAGAGGCUGGACCACUUGCUGGAAAACCUUCAAAACAGGAAGCGGCCACUAGACGCAAGUCACAUUCCUGCUGGAGGCUGGACGUGAUCCCCCAGGUCUUUAGAUAAACUCAACCAAUUGUCAACCAGAAAGUGUUUGAAUUCACCUAUGGCCUAGAAGUCCCGCUUUGAGUUAUCCCAGCUUUCUGGACCAAACCAAUGUAUUUCUUCAAUGUAUUUGAUUGAUGUCUCAUGCCCCUGUAGAAGGUAUAAAACCGGGCCACCUGGGACACAUGUUCUCAGACCCUCCUGAGGUUGUGUCACAGGCCAUGGUCACUCAUGUUUGGCUCAGAAUAAAUCUCUUCAAAUAUUUUACAGAGUUAGACUCUUUUCAUCGACAACAUUAAUGCCUCAAAACAGAAAAAGGCCAGGCAUGGUGUCUCACUCUUAGACUCCCAACACUGGAGGAUCACUUGAGGCCAG
This is a long non-coding RNA of Cercocebus atys (sooty mangabey), 767 nucleotides long. RefSeq lists it as uncharacterized. The transcript has 3 exons. The record is from RefSeq and is a predicted model, not a curated record. Lineage: Eukaryota; Metazoa; Chordata; Mammalia; Primates; Cercopithecidae.